RNAcentral lists this ribosomal RNA (253 nucleotides) under uncultured bacterium. Its description in RNAcentral is "partial 16S ribosomal RNA". It matches the Rfam family "Bacterial small subunit ribosomal RNA", at positions 524 to 776 of the family's 1533-position model. The record is from RNAcentral.
UACAGGGGGGGCAAGCGUUGUUCGGAAUUACUGGGCGUAAAGGGCCAGUAGGCGGCCAACUAAGUCACACGUGAAAUCCCCAGGCUUAACCUGGGAACUGCGUGUGAUACUGGAUGGCUUGAAUUCGGGAGAGGGAUGCAGAAUUCCAGGUGUAGCGGUGGAAUGCGCAGAUAUCAGGAGGAACACCGGUGGCGAAGGCGGGAUCCUGGGCCAGUACUGACGCUGAGGAGCGAAAGCGUGGGGAGCAAACAGG